Molecule: small RNA, 627 nt
Filed under: Pongo abelii (Sumatran orangutan)
Lineage: Eukaryota; Metazoa; Chordata; Mammalia; Primates; Hominidae
Description: processed transcript
Source: RNAcentral
GCCCCUCGCUCCUGCAGAUAAUGCUCAGAGACGCUGGGGCGCCCACCCUGGCAAACUAACGAAGCAGCUCCCUUCCCACCCCAACUGCAGGUCUAAUUUUGGACGCUUUGCCUGCCACUUCUUCCAGGUUGAGGGAGCCGCAGAGGCGGAGGCUUGCGUAUUCUUGCAGUCAGCGCCCACGUCGCCCCCGGACGCGCGGUGCUCAGGCCCUUCGCGAGCGGGGCUCUCCGUCUGCGGACCCUUGUGAAGGCUCUGGGCGGCUGCAGAGGCCGGCCGUCCGGUUUGGCUCACCUCUCCCAGGAAACUACACUGGAGAGCCAAAAGGAGUGGAAGAGCCUGUCUUGGAGAUUUUCCUGGGGAAAUCCUGAGGUCAUUCAUUAUGAAGUGUACCGCGCGGGAGUGGCUCAGAGUAACCACAGUGCUGUUCAUGGCUAGAGCAAUUCCAGCCAUGGUGGUUCCCAAUGCCACUUUAUUGGAGAAACUUUUGGAAAAAUACAUGGAUGAGGAUGACAUGGGAUGUAGAGCUGGAAAGAUCUGCAGAAUCCUGGGCUGAAAGUUGCUUGUGGGAACAUGGACCUGCAAGCUUGCUUCCAUCAAUUGGACAGAAUUUGGGAGCACACUGGGGAA